Molecule: RNA transcript, 5529 nt
Organism: Motacilla alba alba
Lineage: Eukaryota; Metazoa; Chordata; Aves; Passeriformes; Motacillidae
Gene: PNRC2
Gene name: proline rich nuclear receptor coactivator 2
Exons: 4
Source: RefSeq, a predicted model, not a curated record
GGGAGGAGGGCUCAGAGUGGGAAAAGCUGUCAGCUGUGACAAAGCUGCUUCAGCACAAGCCCUUUAAACCCCCAGGCUCGGGGUUUGGCUGGGUGCCCUGUCGGUGUCCUGGGGGUUUCACUCCUGGUGCUGUGCACACCCCGCACACCAAUGCACGAUGCAGGGCUGGAUGUGAUCUCGCACUCACGAGCUCCAGCAGUGCAGAGGAGGGAACUCGUGUUCUGGAGCUGAUCUAACUCAGGUGCCGGUGGACGCCAACUUAAUUCACGUCUAAAGCUUAUAUCAAUAUGCUUAUAAUGAGAUUUAAGCAAUUAAAGUGUGUAGUUUUAUCAUAUUGUUUGUUCUUGAUCUUCUCUAUUUACCCUGCAGAGGUUCAAAUGUCUGCUCAGUUGCUGUAGCUCACUGCUGUGGAUAAUCUGAGCUUUAUUUAAUGAACACGGCUCCUCUGCCAGGCAGAAUAAAGGAUAUUCUAAACAUUACUGUAUACCCAGUGCUUCCAUGCAGAUUUUAAAGAAAGCACAAGCUCCCAUGUUUCCCUCAUGAGGAAGCUUAGAUUAACAAUCUGGUUAAUGUUUGGCUCAGGUGGAAAAGUCUAACGAGUUUCAAGUGUGUCACGGGGCUCUUGGAGCCACAAAAAGUAAACAUCUUGGGUUUACUGAAAGUCACCCACAGCCGGAAAGUCGUCACUGUGAAAUAAAACUGGGGCAAUGGUUCACUAUUGAUUUAACAAAUGAGUCAUCCGUGCUGCAGACUUCCUGCAGCAUCCACGCUCAGCAGCUCCACUGAAACACUCGGGCAGGAGCACGUCUGUGCUGAGAUGCAGCUGGGAGCAUCUUCAUCUGGGGCUAAUGGAGCUCUGGAGGCUUUGCCUUCACGGGGACUUGCUGGCUGUGGCAGUGCCAGCACAGAUGGAGCUGCUUCCCUGGGCUGGAUUCAUGUUUGCUGGGAGAGGCAGUGGAGGUGCUGAGUGAAAAAUAAAGCUGGCUGGGGAAAUCCUUGAGGUGCUGUCACCGUGGCAGCAGAAGCGUGGUGGGGAGCUGAGGAGGAUUUGGGUAACACAGCUCCCUGGGAACAUGAGGGAAGCUGGGAUUUGUUGCACUCAUCUUUGGACUACCUGGAGGAAGCGGAAUAAUCCAGACAGAGCAGACAAUUGCACAACAGACAGCUCCUGUCCCUGCUGCGUACAGGUUACGGGAGGGUGCAGUGGGGGUCACUGAGUCUGUGUCACCACGAGGCACAGCAGGGUGGCUUUGGAAGCACCGAGUUUGAGGGCUCUGCCUCGGGAGCUGGUCUGUAGCACCUGCAGGACACCAGGGUGAGCACAGCACGAUCCUGGAGGCAGCUCAGAUAUCCCAGUGUGCCCAUGAGUAACUGAGGUCAGUGUCACAUGCUCAGGAAUCACAAACCUUACAUCGAGACCUUUGAAAAGGAAGGGGGUUUAAAAUCAGCAUUUGAAGGAGCGAAGCAGCUCCUGUUGGUGGAAUCUCGGGUGGUGAUGAUGAAGGAUCGAGACAGAGCCUCAGGAUUCAGUCUGUGCUGUGUCUUUAGGAUGCAGCAGGAACUUGAGUGCUGCUGUCUGUGUUGUGGUUUCCACAGCUCUGGGAACAUCUCCUUUCCUUCCACUGCAGGGGAGGAAACCAGCCCCGGGCUCUAACAGCUGAAGGGGGAAACACAGAAUUUUGCAAGCUGGACUUUGUGGUGUUUGGGGAAUUUAUCCCUUUGAUUCAAAAAAUACCCUCGUGUUCCUGCUUGGCCUCCAAAUGACUCCAUUUGUUUCAGUGGAACAGCUCCUGCACAAAUAUAGGAAUGGCUUAUCACUGACAUUUCCUGCUCCCCCAGGCUGAAUGUGUCAGCCUGACCCCAAAACCAGCUCUGAAAGACGUUUCUUUAAUUAUCUCAAACACAGCGAGGACAAACAGCCAGACCUUGUGUCAUGCUUGUUCUGAACUGAAAAGUACACGCUGUUGUGCUGCCCAGACAAGAGCAGAACAUUUGCAGCCUGCAAAAUGCUGUUUCUCAAUCCCACUGACACGUCCUGGCUUGAGAACAUCCACACGCUGGAGUGAGAUUUUAGCAGGAAUAAACACACUUGAGAUAGAAACAAAGCACAAAUCUGCUGAUGUGCAUUGUAGGAGAGUUGUUAAUCAAUGCGUGGAAUUUCCAGGCUUGCAGCAGAUAUUGUUGUCUUCCAUGUAAAGACAAAAAAAAGCUGCUAGAAGGACCUCAGCCAUGACAUUGUGCCAAGAAAUCCAAAGCAAAGGGAGGAAAACAAAUUAAUUUCAGCUGGCUUUGUGCUAACAUACAAUAAAGAACAGGAACAAAGGUCUGGGCUUGGGUAUGUCAACACAUCAUGUGUACUAAAAUAUAUGCUGGCUUUUUUUUAAUAACUUCACAAUGAAUACAAACUUCUUUUCGGAGUCUUUGCCUUGUCCAGGGUUGGGUCACAGCCCUGUAACACCAGGUCAGUAAGGAAACAGUUUCGGUUUAGGGAUAAAGCAGGAGCUUUUCUCUUCUGUAGCUAAAAAAGCAGGGCUACUCAAUGGAACCAGGCUCUUUACUUCAAAAUAAAAUCUCUGAAUGUUCAUCUGUUGUUUUUGAGUACUGCCCUGACUUAGUAGGGUUGGAAGUGAACUUGUUCUUUUCUGUUUUCUUUGAAACUUCCUUUUUUUCAGCCUUUAAUGUGGUGUACAGUGCUAGAUUGGCCUCAGUGGUGGGCAGGGAACACUCUCACAUGUGCAAAUUUCUUACGUAUACCUAAUUUUUAAUCAUCCUACACAUGGCAAAGGCCAAUUCUUGUGGAUUUUUUCUUUGAAACGAUCCUUUGAGGCAAAAUAAGAAAACGCGAAUAUAAACACAAAGUGCAGCCACAGGCAGGGGCUCUGCAUAGCCACAGCACUGCUUUAAACCCGGGAAAUCCUUUCCCUGUCUUUUGACCUGAAAGAUCCCUCUACAUCGUUUUCAAUGCUUUAAAUUUAAACAUGAAAUAGUUUAACAAAAUGCAGGCUGGGGAAUGGGUACAACACACCCGAGACCAUCCAUCUGACACCAGAGCCCGUGGCCCUCUCCGGGGGGCUGGCUUUUACUCUUUGUUCGCUGAAUCCCUUCUCUCGACGCCCCUCGCUCGCACAGCCGGGUGUUUUGUGCGUUUCUCCUUUUUUUUUUUUUUUUUUUUUUUUUUUUACCUCUUUGAAGCCCCCAGCGGCAGCUGGCGCGGGCGUUCCCCCACGACGUUUGUUGUGCUAAUUCUCGGGCGGGGCGGGGCUGGCAGCGUGGCCGGGGGGCUGUGGCGAGGGGCCGGGGGUACCGAGGGCGGUACCGGGGGCCCGCGGGCGGCGCUCGGUGGCGGGGCCGGCCCGGGCGGGACAAAGAGCGGCGGCCGCUCCCGCGCUGCCCUUCGUGAGGGGAUUCGAAUGGCGGCCCCGCCCGCCCGCGCGCCGCGGCCGCUCUGCCCUGAGCCCGCCCGGCAACAGGCGGGGCUUGGCCGCCAUUGGCGGAGCGGGCGAGCGGCGCGCUCCCAUUGGCUGCGGCCGCGCGGCCCCGCGGAGGGGGGAGGAGGGAGAGGGUGUUAAACGGCGCAGGACGCGGCCGCCAUUUUGUGAGGGAGAGCGAGGGGCGGUGCGGAGCGGAGCGGGCUCUGGGGCGGGGGUCGGACGGUGACGGCGGAGCAGCGCGGGGUCGGUUCCCGGAGGGCCGUGUGCGUGUCCGUGCUUGUGGGCGAGCGGAGCGGACAGAAGUCGCAGGACUUCUCCCUUGGAGCUUCUGUGCCGAGAAUCCGAUGUUGGGCUCGGCUCCCUGGCUGAAGACAGCAGAUCAGCCCAUGAAAACUUCUAUUCCCAGCCAAAGGAAGGAGUCCAGCACAAGGCAGCACCUCUUCUUUCAGGCUUGGAAGCAAGAAAGGGGGCAAGAGUUGGAGAGUGUGGAGUCGGAGAAGACCACUGAGAGGUGACAUUUAAGUUGAAGAUGGGUGGUGGAGAAAGAUACAACAUUCCCAUUCCCCAGUCUAGAAAUACCACCAAGAACCAUCAACAACUUAAAAACAGGCAGAAGAGCAAAGACCCCAACUCUCAGAUGAAAACCUACGCCAAGAAGGAAAGAGGCCACGGCUGCAGCUCCUCUCCUGGUGCAUGGCAGGCCAUGCAGAAAGGGGGGAAGAACAACGUUCACUUCCCCAAGAAUCCCAACUGGAAUCCUGCUCUGUCCAAUCACAACCUGUUGUUCACCCCUCAGAGCAACCAGAACUAUGCUGGAGCCAAGUUCAGCGAGCCACCCUCCCCAAGUGUCCUGCCCAAGCCACCGAGCCACUGGGUACCUGUUUCUUUUAAACCUUCUGAUAAGGAAAUAAUGACAUUUCAGCUCAAAACCUUACUGAAAGUCCAGGCCUGAGGUGUAACUCGUGUGAUUUUCAGGAGUGAUUUCGACUGUCAGGGUUUCAGAUUUGAGCAUUGCUGUUCCAAACUCCAGCUGUGCCAGGACCAGGUGUUCUUGCUGCAUGUAGUUAGUCACUUGGAGAGGGGUGUGAGUUUACAUUCCCCUCAUCUUUUACCUCAGAAGUUCAGUGCUGUGUUCACCUCACUGUGAAAUAGAUAUUUUCUUGUAAAUCACUCGAAUCCUGAGCGGUCACCAUUUACUGUAUUUAAGAAUAAAUGGGACUGCGUGCCAAAAUUGGAACUGUGGCUUUGAAUUGUUAGAAAACCACCUUUUACCUAACUUAAUGCAGCAUGAACUGAAAAGAAAAACGCACUGAAAACUUUAGUCAGGUUAUUUGCUGCUUUCAGGCUGGCGUGAGAUUUGCUAAACACUGCAGAGCAGAAACCUCCACCUGGGCACACAGGGAGGCACAGCUGAUCCUCUUCCCUGCCCUGGGAGCUUUAGUGGCACUCCUGCAGUGGUGGGUGAGCGUUUCCAGCCCGUGGCUCCCAUCUGGAACGUUCUGGAAGGGUGUGGAAGAACUCCUGGCUGUGCUUCCCAGGAAUCUCCAUGAGUGCCAGCUAAAGACCUUGCAUGGCCAGGUGACUGCCAAAAAAGCUCCCCCAAACCCUUUGUGUGCCCACUGCACUGAGGAGUCCUAAACCACAUUUUGGUAUCAGUUUUUAUAAAAAAGGUGGAGUAGUUCCUUAGUUUGGUCUUAAAUUGGUUCCCCUGUAAGGAUUCAUGGUUUGGGGCAGGUGUUAGAUGUUCUCACGGGGAAGACAGAGCCAUGUAAAUACAUGUAAAACAUUGUAGCAUAUGUAAAUUUCUGCUGGGCUUUCCUGCACAGAAGUAUUUUUAGUACAAAACUGCUGAAUGUAAGAUGACCAUGUUGACUACGUGGCCUGGUUUAAAAAAAAAAAAAAAAAAAAGAUAUUUUGUUUAAAAAAAAAAGUUAACAAAAAAAAAAAGACAUUUGUGGCUGUGCCCGUGCACUUCACAUGCAAUGAAUAUGCACAUUGUAUUUGGUUCUAAUCUCAUUUUUUUAAGUAAAAUCAGUGCAAAAAUGCUUAUUUAGAAUUUUUUUUUUUAAUUAAAGAAAAAAAAAACCUAAAAAAAAAA